Molecule: ribosomal RNA, 505 nt
Filed under: uncultured bacterium
Lineage: Bacteria
Description: partial 16S ribosomal RNA
Rfam family: Bacterial small subunit ribosomal RNA
Source: RNAcentral
GACGAACGCUGGCGGCGUGCCUAAUACAUGCAAGUAGAACGCACAGUUUAUACCGUAGCUUGCUACACCAUAGACUGUGAGUUGCGAACGGGUGAGUAACGCGUAGGUAACCUGCCUGGUAGCGGGGGAUAACUAUUGGAAACGAUAGCUAAUACCGCAUAAUAUUAAUUAUUGCAUGAUAAUUAAUUGAAAGGUGCAAUUGCACCACUACCAGAUGGACCUGCGUUGUAUUAGCUAGUAGGUGAGGUAACGGCUCACCUAGGCGACGAUACAUAGCCGACCUGAGAGGGUGAUCGGCCACACUGGGACUGAGACACGGCCCAGACUCCCACGGGAGGCAGCAGUAGGGAAUCUUCGGCAAUGGACGAAAGUCUGACCGAGCAACGCCGCGUGAGUGAAGAAGGUUUUCGGAUCGUAAAGCUCUGUUGUAAGAGAAGAACGGGUGUGAGAGUGGAAAGUUCACACUGUGACGGUAUCUUACCAGAAAGAGACGGCUAACUACGUG